This 1235-nucleotide ribosomal RNA is filed under the name metagenome. RNAcentral's name for it is "bacterial LSU rRNA". It matches the Rfam family "Bacterial large subunit ribosomal RNA", at positions 1564 to 2808 of the family's 2925-position model. The record is from RNAcentral.
UGAGUACAAGAUGCUACGGCAUUGAAGCAGUCUAUGUCAUACUUCCAAGAAAAGCUUGCAAUGUCAUAAACAAAUAAUGCCUGUACCAUAACCGACACAGGUGGGUAGGUAGAGUAUACUAAGGGGCGCGAGAUAACUCUCUCUAAGGAACUCGGCAAAAUGACUCCGUAACUUCGGGAGAAGGAGUACCUUAUUUUAUAAGGUUGCAAUAACAAGGUCCAAGCAACUGUUUACCAAAAACACAGGUCUCCGCUAAGUCGUAAGACGAUGUAUGGGGGCUGACGCCUGCCCAGUGCCAGAAGGUUAAAGAAGUUGGUUAGCAUUAGCGAAGCUGAUAACUGAAGCCCUGGUGAACGGCGGCCGUAACAAUAACGGUCCUAAGGUAGCGAAAUUCCUUGUCGGGUAAGUUCCGACCCGCACGAAAGGCGUAAUGAUUUGGAUACUGUCUCGGAGAGGGGCUCGGUGAAAUAGACUUGUCUGUGAAGAUGCGGACUACCUGCACCUGGACAGAAAGACCCUAUGAAGCUUUACUGUAACUUGAGAUUGAAAUUGGACUUUAUUUGCGCAGUAUAGGUGGGAGACCUCGAAAGUAUUCUUGCGGGAAUAUUGGAGUCAUCAGUGAGAUACCACUCUUAUAAUGUUAGAUUUCUAACUUUGUAUCAUUAUCUGGUCAAAGAACAGUUUCAGGCGGGCAGUUUGACUGGGGCGGUCGCCUCCCAAAUGGUAACGGAGGCGCACAAAGGUUUCCUCUGAACGUGUAGAAAUCGUAUCUAGAGUGUAAAGGCAUAAGGAAGCUUGACUGUGAGACCUACAAGUCGAGCAGGGACGAAAGUCGGUCUUAGUGAUCUGACGGUGCUGAGUGGAAAGGCCGUCACUCAACGGAUAAAAGUUACUCUAGGAUAACAGGCUGAUCUCCCCCAAGAGUUCACAUCGACGGGGAGGUUUGGCACCUCGAUGUCGGCUCAUCGCAUCCUGGGGCGGUAGUACGUCCCAAGGGUUGGGCUGUUCGCCCAUGAAAGCGGUACGCGAGCUGGGUUCAGAACGUCGUGAGACAGUUCGGUCCAUAUCCGGUGUAGGCGUUAGAAUAUUGAGAGGAGCCUUCUUUAGUACGAGAGGACCGAGAAGGACAUACCUCUGGUGUACCAGUUAUCGUGCCAACGGUAAGCGCUGGGUAGCUAUGUAUGGAGAGGUUAACCGCUGAAAGCAUCUAAGUGGGAAGCCCACCUCAAGAUAAG